Molecule: ribosomal RNA, 498 nt
Filed under: uncultured bacterium
Lineage: Bacteria
Description: partial 16S ribosomal RNA
Rfam family: Bacterial small subunit ribosomal RNA
Source: RNAcentral
AUUGAACGCUGGCGGCAUGCUUUACACAUGCAAGUCGAACGGUAACAGGCCUUCGGGUGCUGACGAGUGGCGAACGGGUGAGUAAUGCAUCGGAACAUACCCAGUCGUGGGGGAUAACGUAGCGAAAGUUACGCUAAUACCGCAUACGUCCAGAGGGAGAAAGCGGGGGAUCGCAAGACCACGCGCGAUUGGAGUGGCCGAUGUCAGAUUAGCUAGUUGGUGGGGUAAAGGCCCACCAAGGCGACGAUCUGUAGCGGGUCUGAGAGGAUGAUCCGCCACACUGGGACUGAGACACGGCCCAGACUCCUACGGGAGGCAGCAGUGGGGAAUUUUGGACAAUGGGGGCAACCCUGAUCCAGCCAUGCCGCGUGCGGGAAGAAGGCCUUCGGGUUGUAAACCGCUUUCGGACAGAAAGAAAUCGCAUGGGCUAAUACCCUGUGUGGAUGACGGUACUGUAAGAAGAAGCACCGGCUAACUACGUGCCAGCCGCCGCAGUAA